UUUUUCCGAAUUUAUGGGGUGAAAGGGUGGGCAGGGGGGCAUUUUAAUUCAGGGGGAAAAUUCGGGGCUCAACCUCGAGUAAGCAUUUGAAACUGUUGUCUUGAGUGCGGGAGAGGAAGUGGAAUUCCUGGUGUAGCGGUGAAAUGCGUAGAUAUCAGAAGGAACACCGGUGGCGAAGGCGACUUUCUGGACCGUAACUGACGCUGAGGCACGAAAGCGUGGGGAUCAAACAGGAUUAGAUACCCUGGUAGUCCACGCAGUAAACGAUGAUUACUAGGUGUCGGGGGUCCACCCUCGGUGCCGCAGUUAACACAUUAA
This 318-nucleotide ribosomal RNA is filed under the name uncultured bacterium. RNAcentral describes it as "bacterial SSU rRNA". It matches the Rfam family "Bacterial small subunit ribosomal RNA", at positions 541 to 863 of the family's 1533-position model. The record is from RNAcentral.